RNAcentral lists this ribosomal RNA (458 nucleotides) under uncultured Geobacter sp. Its description in RNAcentral is "bacterial SSU rRNA". It matches the Rfam family "Bacterial small subunit ribosomal RNA", at positions 342 to 791 of the family's 1533-position model. The record is from RNAcentral. Lineage: Bacteria; Pseudomonadati; Thermodesulfobacteriota; Desulfuromonadia; Geobacterales; Geobacteraceae.
CGGGGGGCAGCAGUGGGGAAUUUUGCGCAAUGGGCGAAAGCCUGACGCAGCAACGCCGCGUGAGUGAUGAAGGCUUUCGGGUCGUAAAGCUCUGUCGAGGGGAAAGAAGUGUACUUUGGUUAAUACCCAUUGUACUUGACGGUACCCCUAAAGGAAGCACCGGCUAACUCCGUGCCAGCAGCCGCGGUAAUACGGGGGGUGCAAGCGUUGUUCGGAAUUAUUGGGCGUAAAGCGCGUGUAGGCGGUCUGAUUAGUCUGAUGUGAAAGCCCUGGGCUCAACCCAGGAAGUGCAUUGGAUACUGUCAGACUUGAAUACGGGAGAGGGUAGUGGAAUUCCUAGUGUAGGAGUGAAAUCCGUAGAUAUUAGGAGGAACACCGGUGGCGAAGGCGGCUACCUGGACCGAUAUUGACGCUGAGACGCGAAAGCGUGGGUAGCAAACAGGAUUAGAUACCCGAGU